GUGCCAGCUGCCGCGGUAAUACCGGCAGCCCGAGUGAUGGCCGAUCUUAUUGGGCCUAAAGCGUCCGUAGCUGGGUCUGAAAGUCCAUCGGGAAAUCCACUCGCUCAACGAGUGGCCGUCCGGUGGAAACUCCACACCUUGGGACCGGAAGACUCGAAGGGUACGGCCGGGGUAGGAGUGAAAUCCUGUAAUCCCGGACGGACCACCGAUGGCGAAAGCACUUCGAGAAAACGGAUCCGACAGUGAGGGACGAAAGCUGAGAUCUCGAACCGGAUUAGAUACCCUGGUAGUCC
This 293-nucleotide ribosomal RNA is filed under the name uncultured bacterium. Its description in RNAcentral is "partial 16S ribosomal RNA". It matches the Rfam family "Archaeal small subunit ribosomal RNA", at positions 455 to 747 of the family's 1478-position model. The record is from RNAcentral.